This 439-nucleotide ribosomal RNA is filed under the name uncultured bacterium. RNAcentral's name for it is "partial 16S ribosomal RNA". It matches the Rfam family "Bacterial small subunit ribosomal RNA", at positions 339 to 795 of the family's 1533-position model. The record is from RNAcentral.
CUACGGGUUGCUGCAGUGAGGAAUAUUGCACAAUGGGGGGAACCCUGAUGCAGCAACGCCGCGUGGAGGAUGACGCAUUUCGGUGUGUAAACUCCUUUUAUGAGUCAAGAAAAUGACGGUAGCUCAUGAAUAAGCACCGGCUAACUCCGUGCCAGCAGCCGCGGUAAUACGGAGGGUGCAAGCGUUACUCGGAAUCACUGGGCGUAAAGGACGCGUAGGCGGGUUGUCAAGUCAGGUGUGAAAUCCUACAGCUUAACUGUAGAACUGCACUUGAAACUGGCAGCCUAGAGUAUGGGAGGGGGAGAUGGAAUUAGUGGUGUAGGGGUAAAAUCCGUAGAUAUCACUAGGAAUACCUAAAGCGAAGGCGAUCUCCUGGAACAUUACUGACGCUAAGGCGUGAAAGCGUGGGGAGCAAACAGGAUUAGAUACCCCGGUAGUC